RNAcentral lists this ribosomal RNA (465 nucleotides) under uncultured bacterium. RNAcentral describes it as "partial 16S ribosomal RNA". It matches the Rfam family "Bacterial small subunit ribosomal RNA", at positions 338 to 795 of the family's 1533-position model. The record is from RNAcentral.
CCUACGGGGGGCAGCAGUAGGGAAUCUUCCACAAUGGGCGAAAGCCUGAUGGAGCAACGCCGCGUGGGUGAAGAAGGUCUUCGGAUCGUAAAACCCUGUUGUUCGAGAAGAAAGUGCGUGAGAGUAACUGUUCACGUUUCGACGGUAUCUAACCAGAAAGCCACGGCUAACUACGUGCCAGCAGCCGCGGUAAUACGUAGGUGGCAAGCGUUAUUCGGAUUUAUUGGGCGUAAAGGGAACGCAGGCGGUCUUUUAAGUCUGAUGUGAAAGCCGUCGGCUUAACCGGAGUAGUGCAUUGGAAACUGGGAGACGUGAGUGCAGGAGAGGAGAGUGGAACUCCAUGUGUAGCGGUGAAAUGCGUAGAUAUAUGGAAGAACACCAGUGGCGAAAGCGGCUCUCUGGUCUGUAACUGACGCUGAGGUUCGAAAGCGUGGGUAGCAAACAGGAUUAGAUACCCCUGUAGUC